Long non-coding RNA from Nycticebus coucang (slow loris), 1318 nucleotides. RefSeq lists it as uncharacterized. The transcript has 3 exons. Lineage: Eukaryota; Metazoa; Chordata; Mammalia; Primates; Lorisidae. The record is from RefSeq and is a predicted model, not a curated record.
AUCUUUCCUAUUCCUUAAAACUACAGAGGAUCCAGAGGCAGGCAGGGUGGGGAGAGGGGAAGAAAUAGAGCAGAAGCCGUACUUCCACCCCAGGCUCCUCACUCAGGGUUCCUGGCUACAGCCUACUGACUGGGACUGUGUUCAGUUCCACCAACACUCUGCUCACAUUUGCCAACCCAUUUCCUCUGCUAGCAUCUGCAUUUCUUCUAGGGGCAGAAAUUGCUCAUCAUCCAGCAUCACAAUAUUAUGAUUCUGCUUUUAGAUAUCUUCUGCUGAGGAAGUAAUCAGAUCAUUGCCCAGCAUGCCUAUAAUACUGGAAGAAGGAUCUCACCUCCUGGAAUGCCUGGGAGGAUGAAGUGUACUAACUCUAGGAAAAUGCCUGGCCGGUGGAGUAAAUCUUUUUGGAGAUUCUUAGUGCAUUUGCUGUGGGUCAAUGUGUUUUUGUGGCUAAAUUAUAUGUGAGGAAAGUACAAUAUGGUUGGAGACCCUGGAAGAACUUCAAGAAAUUUUCAGGUUGCUGAAAAUUGAACAAAAUCAAGCAGUCACAGUGGACACCAGCCUUCCAGCCAACAAGGUGCCAGGGAUGUGGGUAAAGCUGUCUUGGACUCCAGAACAGCCCAUCCACCAAGUUGCCUCUGGGGAUGCCACGUGGAAUAAAAGAAUAAACUGCCACAACAUCAUGAGAAAAAAUGAAAUGAUUGUUAUUUUAAGCCACUCACUUUUGGAGUAGUUUGUUAAGAAGCAACCAAUAACUGAAAUAUUAGCACGGAGGAAAAACAUAUUUGGCCAUCUGAGCAGGUGCUGGGUGCUGCUCCUUUCUCUCCGCUCAGCUCACCACACUGUCUUCUCUGUGGCUUUCUGGGGCUCCCAGACAGGGGAAUGCAGCACCAGCACCUCCACCAAGCAAAACUUUGGGAAAAGCCUGGAAUGCCCAAAGUCCUCAGAGAAUGACUCUGGACUUCUGCUCUAGAAAAAAAAAAAUUGAUUACCUAACUUGACUUAAAAAAAAAAAGUAUUGACUUGAAUAGCUACUCCAAUUGAAAGAAGAAUCAGGUGAGGAAAUAAAAGUAUGAAGGAGAGUUACAAAAGAGAAUUGGAUUUUUUUUUAAAAGCUGCCUUGUAGUCCACAGGUUAUCAGUUUUUAUUUAAAAGCACCAGAAGCAGGAAAAUGAACAAGGGCUCUCCAUGCACCCAAGGGGAGUGGGUGAGAUUUUGCCACGGGUCUGUGCCUUAUAGUCAGAGGUUCUUUCUCCCUGGUGGUGGACUUGCUAUAGUGAUGGCUCCAGGAAGAGGCCCAGAAAUGGACAUUGUAAUGAUU